GUAGCUUUCAUUGCGACAGGAAACGGUUAUAUGUGGUUACGCUGUCAUUACAUAUACUUAUUAUUAGUACACUGAACUUUUCUUCGAGGCCUACGUGGACAAAAAUUUUCGGUUUACCCACCAACAAUAAAAUGGAAAGGACCUGCACUUUUUCAGUUUUUGGAAAGGCACGGACAAUUUCAAAAUCCCUGCCAAAUAUAUUAGAGGUCAUUCACAAGUAUGCUGAACCCGGGACCAGUCUAAAGACCUACAGUAUUCACAAAGUGCAUGGCUUUUGGGAAAAUGUCUCAAGAGAUUUGGGAGUGCCUAAUACAUGUCUUAAUAGGAAAAAAAUUCUCAAAGCAGUCCUGCAGUAUGAAAAGACCACAUCAGGGGUAGAGGGUCCCUUACUACAGACUGAUUUUCCUACUGCAGAGACAACACUUGGAGAUGAUGUUCCUUCCAUUAAUGAGGAAGACGUUGUUGCGCCAAAGUCUCCACAAUCUGUAGGAAAUGUACCUUUACCUUCAAGAAAAGAGGAUGCACUUCAAAAAACUGCAGAGAGCGGCAUCCAUACCCCAGACACACAAUCCCUCGAGAGUGACUCUAAAUCUUCAUCUUCAAAUGCAAAUGCUAAGAGGAAUGAAUCAGAUGAAUCAGCUAAGGUCAACACAGACAGUAGCAGUUCAGGAGAAAGAUUUUUCACAUCUGGUUUGCCACAGCAGAAAACUUUCUUUUUCAUAAAUGAGAAUGAAUGGAAGGAGUUACGGCAACAUCAGUCAGGAAGACUAUUUAAAGGACUGCAGUGGACAAAUAUAAUUGCCAGUGGAAUCAGAACCCUUAAUCCGUACUGCAGUUUUGGAUUUCGGAGACACAGUGUGAAAAAACUCUCUUCAAGAUCAAAGGCACCGGUUUUCAGGUGUAUGGGGUACUGCAGAUUUCAGGACUGCCCUGUCACUGUGGAUGUGGUGGUUUAUGAUGAAGAGACACUGAAAGCAGAAGUCGUUUUUAAAGGAGGUGAGGUCUGCCAUAAUAACAAAGAGCUGAAAAGGCAGCCUGUGUGUGCACAAUCACGUCAAAGUACUGGAGAACUCCUCAAAAACAAAUUACCAAGGAGCUUGUACUUGGAGUCUUUACAGAAAGUGCCACAAAAGCUGAUCCAACCUGGCAACAGGGAUGAUGCUCCAACAAAAGAAGUCUUGAAAAACAUUGCAUGGUCUGAAAGAAAAGCCAGUAGAGCAGAUCCCAACGAGUUGAUGAGCUUACAAAAGAUAAUUCAACAGUAUCAGGACACUGAAAAGGAUGUACUGCAGAAGAUUCUGAUGCAUCCAAAGGGCAUAAUGCUAUGGUCUAAGAAAACCUUGUCAGUUUUUCAUC
This is a long non-coding RNA of Oreochromis aureus, 1356 nucleotides long. The record is from Ensembl. NCBI's taxonomy places the organism in Eukaryota, Metazoa, Chordata, Actinopteri, Cichliformes, Cichlidae.